RNAcentral lists this ribosomal RNA (253 nucleotides) under uncultured bacterium. Its description in RNAcentral is "partial 16S ribosomal RNA". It matches the Rfam family "Bacterial small subunit ribosomal RNA", at positions 524 to 776 of the family's 1533-position model. The record is from RNAcentral.
GACGAACCGUGCGAACGUCGUUCGGAAUCACUGGGCUUAAAGGGCGCGUAGGCGGCCGGCCAAGUCAGGGGUGAAAUCCUGCAGCUUAACUGUAGAAGAGCCUUUGAUACUGGCCGGCUCGAUGGAGGUAGGGGUGCGUGGAACUUCUGGUGGAGCGGUGAAAUGCGUUGAUAUCAGAAGGAACGCCGGUGGCGAAAGCGACGCACUGGAUCUCUACUGACGCUGAGGCGCGAAAGCUAGGGUAGCGAACGGG